UACAGAGGGGGCAAGCGUUGUUCGGAAUCACUGGGCGUAAAGGGCGCGUAGGCGGGCUGGCAAGUCGGUCGUGAAAUCCUUCGGCUCAACCGAAGAACGUCGGCCGAUACUGCCGUUCUUGAGGGAUGCAGAGGAGAUUGGAAUUCCCGGUGUAGCGGUGAAAUGUGUAGAGAUCGGGAGGAACACCGGUGGCGAAGGCGGGUCUCUGGGCAUUUCCUGACGCUGAGGCGCGAAAGCGUGGGGAGCAAACGGG
This 253-nucleotide ribosomal RNA is filed under the name uncultured bacterium. Its description in RNAcentral is "partial 16S ribosomal RNA". It matches the Rfam family "Bacterial small subunit ribosomal RNA", at positions 524 to 776 of the family's 1533-position model. The record is from RNAcentral.